CCUACGGGGGGCAGCAGUGGGGAAUAUUGCACAAUGGGGGAAACCCUGAUGCAGCGACGCCGCGUGAAGGAAGAAGUAUCUCGGUAUGUAAACUUCUAUCAGCAGGGAAGAAAACAGACGGUACCUGACUAAGAAGCCCCGGCUAACUACGUGCCAGCAGCCGCGGUAAUACGUAGGGGGCAAGCGUUAUCCGGAUUUACUGGGUGUAAAGGGGGCGCAGACGGCCAUGGCAAGCCCGGUGUGAAAGGCAGGGGCAUAACCCCUGGACUGCACUGGGAACUGUCAGGCUGGAGUGCCGGAGGGGUAAGCGGAAUUCCUGGUGUAGCGGUGAAAUGCGUAGAUAUCAGGAGGAACACCGGCGGCGAAGGCGGCUUACUGGACGGCAACUGACGUUGAGGCCCGAAAGCGUGGGGAGCGAACAGGAUUAGAUACCCUGGU
Molecule: ribosomal RNA, 438 nt
Filed under: uncultured bacterium
Lineage: Bacteria
Description: bacterial SSU rRNA
Rfam family: Bacterial small subunit ribosomal RNA
Source: RNAcentral